UACGUAGGGUGCGAGCGUUGUCCGGAAUUACUGGGCGUAAAGAGCUCGUAGGUGGUUUGUCGCGUUGUCCGUGAAAACUCACAGCUCAACUGUGGGCGUGCGGGCGAUACGGGCAGACUGGAGUACUGCAGGGGAGACUGGAAUUCCUGGUGUAGCGGUGGAAUGCGCAGAUAUCAGGAGGAACACCUGUGGUGUAGACGAUCAUCUGGGGUUGUUCUGACACUGAGGAGCGAAAGCUAGGGGAGCAAACGGG
Molecule: ribosomal RNA, 253 nt
Filed under: uncultured bacterium
Lineage: Bacteria
Description: partial 16S ribosomal RNA
Rfam family: Bacterial small subunit ribosomal RNA
Source: RNAcentral